GACGAACGCUGGCGGCGUGCCUAAUACAUGCAAGUUGAGCGCUGAAGGUUGGUACUUGUACCAACUGGAUGAGCAGCGAACGGGUGAGUAACGCGUGGGGAAUCUGCCUUUGAGCGGGGGACAACAUUGGGAAACGAAUGCUAAUACCGCAUAAAAACUUUAAACACAAGUUUUAAGUUUGAAAGAUGCAAUUGCAUCACUCAAAGAUGAUCCCGCGUUGUAUUAGCUUGUUGGUGAGGUAAAGGCUCACCAAGGCGAUGAUACAUAGCCGACCUGAGAGGGUGAUCGGCCACAUUGGGACUGAGACACGGCCCAAACUCCUACGGGAGGCAGCAGUAGGGAAUCUUCGGCAAUGGACGAAAGUCUGACCGAGCAACGCCGCGUGAGUGAAGAAGGUUUUCGGAUCGUAAAACUCUGUUGGUAGAGAAGAACGUUGGUGAGAGUGGAAAGCUCAUCAAGUGACGGUAACUACACAGAAAGAGACGGCUAACUACGUG
Molecule: ribosomal RNA, 497 nt
Filed under: uncultured bacterium
Lineage: Bacteria
Description: partial 16S ribosomal RNA
Rfam family: Bacterial small subunit ribosomal RNA
Source: RNAcentral